GGAAUUUCUCCUCACUGCUUGGCAUCCUUUCUGCUCUGCAGAGCCCCUCGAUUCACCAUCUGAAGAAGAUAUGGGGACAGGUUUCCAGGAAGAAUUCCCCCAAAUUUAAGAAGUGGUACACCAAAGACCAGUGGGUGAGCAGGAAGCUGUUCAUCAAGGAAGAUGGAGGCUGGAGAUCUGGAAGGAGGUGACCUCCAUGUUGGCCACCCUGCAGAUGGACCCCCCAGGGAGCCCAGGAGAGGCAGCAGCAGCAGCUGCUGGAACACGUGAUGGAGGAUUAUCUGGAG
Diceros bicornis minor is the source of this 287-nucleotide long non-coding RNA. RefSeq lists it as uncharacterized. The transcript is spliced from 4 exons. NCBI's taxonomy places the organism in Eukaryota, Metazoa, Chordata, Mammalia, Perissodactyla, Rhinocerotidae. The record is from RefSeq and is a predicted model, not a curated record.